This is a long non-coding RNA of Cyanistes caeruleus (blue tit), 2261 nucleotides long. The record is from Ensembl. Lineage: Eukaryota; Metazoa; Chordata; Aves; Passeriformes; Paridae.
UCUGGAUUUUGCGAAAGCCUUGCUUCCAGCCUUAGCACUUCAUGGUUAAAAAUACCACCCAUGAUUUAUUUAUCCUGUUUAGGAUGCGAUGUGUACCUUUCUGUUUGCCGGCAGGUGGCAGUGGUGUAGGAGUGUUAAGGAUGACCAGCAAAAACCCAAGGGCUUUGCUGCGGCUGUUUCCAGGCUGCUGUGUGCUCAGUCUCUUCCAGCUGCGAGGGGAUUAUGAGCAUAUUUCUCCUUGGUCUGCACAAGUUGAUUCAUCUCAUCAGCACUUUCUGAUCAAUUGAUACAUUUUUGAAAGCGUGUUUUUGGCAAUUGCUUUCUAGUGUGUGAAAUGAUAUCAUCUUGGGUAUUGAUGGAAAUGGAUGCUAAUGAAAUAAACAGAAGCACUUUUUACAUGGCCUUUCCCUAGAGACACAGGAGCAUUGGGCAUCUUCAAGCAUUUUUUCCUCUUACAAAUGUCCAGGUGAACAUUUUCUGAUCUGUAUACUUGUCUUUAAAAAAAAAAAAAUCUGUUUGCAUCACAAUGCAGGAUUUGAAAUCGACUUGUUUUGGUAACUUUUAAUUUCUAAGCAAGUGUCGCUCUGCAUUUAUCAGCAGUGGCUUUAUUGGAGGGAGAUCUAACGAGCUGUUAACCCCUUGCUUGCAAGAGUGGAUAUGGGUCUUUCUUCCAUCUGCAGUCCUGACUCCAGAGCCUUCUCCUGCUCAGGUCAGGGCUGGAGGGGUUUGCACAGUGUGCUCUGCUGAUGAGCCAAUGCACAGAUGCAGAGAUGACAUCAAGGUGGGAAGACCUUGGAGGAGAGAAUUAGAAUUAGAAAUGAGCUAAGCAAAAAAGAUCCUGAUUGUGGAAACCCCAGAUGUAUGAAUGAGGACAGUCACCUUGAGAAGUAUCCCUGAAGUCUGGCAAGGAGAAGCUGCACAAUCUGUGCUGUACCACAGCGGCUGAAGGUUUUGGCUGCCAUCCUCUGCAGGGAAACGAAGGCACAGAGAUGCUGAAGGACACAUCCCAGUUUUAUAAUUUCCUACGUGCUGGAAGUAGGACAGAUGAAUGCUAUGAAAUGCUUAGCAUCACUUUCCCUGGAAGAGAAAGUGAAAUUCAGGAAGGUGGAUCAGGAAAACAGCAUUCUCCUGCCACAGGGAAACAUGGAAAAGUGCAGAAAGGGACAAGCAGGAGAUUUCCUUGGCCUUUUGGAACAUUCCCAGCUACUGAGGGCACUGUCAUACUAUGUGGCAUAUCUGGCACAAACAAAUAUUCUCAGUUUAUUCAGCAAAGAAGACAAUCACCUAUGGCAUCCUUCUGCUGCUCUGGAUGUACAGCUACCCAUGCUUCAGAAGAGAAAACUCCAGUAUUGCUACUCUCAUACAGGUUCAACAGAGGAAGAACAAACCCAUUGCAACAGCAAAAAGAAUCUCUUCAGCAGCUGAGAUCUCUUCACUUGUGGGUAGAAAGCACAGAGAAAUAAAUAUCGCAAGAAUGGCGCUAAGGAUAAGAUAGACCUAUUUAUAUUUAAUAGGACUUUGCAGACUUCUGUGGCCUGAUUGCAGUGACAUGGUGUGCAAAUGAUAUAAUUUCUUUGGAUUAAAAGGAGUUUCUCUUUUAUUUGGAGUUAGCCAGAAAAAGCUCUGAAAUCACCAGAUUGUACUGCUAUUUAUCGGGAAAAUUCUUAUUGGAAACAUCUGAGUUUAUCCCUUCAGGCAUAGUUAGGCCAUAUGUAGUCAUAGCAUUUCAAAUUUUGCUUGGAGCAUAAAUAUGAGGCUAGACAAUUGAAAAAGAGUCUUUAUACAUCCUUACAAUUUAUGUUUUAGCAUAUAAUGAGCAAGUGUUCCCAUGUAUGAAGAUUAGGUACUUAUUUCCUCUGAAAGCCAAUGGUCAUGGAUUUUCUCAUCAUAAACGGUGUACUUUCAUUUCCUCUCUUGCUCUUUGUAUGCACCUCUCCAUUGUUAAACAAUUAAGUAGCAGAAGCUGUUAAUAUUAUGUUAAAAAAUUCAUCCUAUUUCACGGGUUUUUUCCAGUCUUGUUACACUAUUUUCAUGUGAAAACAUGGGUGAAAACACUUAGCAAAACAAAAGAUGCAAAAUAUCAGAAGUAGGACAUUUGUAGAUAAGCUUCAAAACCUAUUGCCAUAGGAAUUAAAGAAUGAAAACCAUCAACACGUUGUAUCUUCUAAGAGUUUUUUCUUGUAUAUAUAUGAACAUUUGUUCUGCUUUAAAAGAUGUAUGUGUAUGAAGCGUUUCUCAAUAAAAAGCAUCAAAAUCAUGCA